This 816-nucleotide ribosomal RNA is filed under the name uncultured fungus. Its description in RNAcentral is "eukaryotic LSU rRNA". The stretch from base 1 to 241 matches the Rfam family "Eukaryotic small subunit ribosomal RNA", at positions 1593 to 1831 of the family's 1831-position model. Lineage: Eukaryota; Fungi. The record is from RNAcentral.
UUGCUCUUCAACGAGGAAUACCUAGUAAGCGUGAUUCAUCAGAUCGCGUUGAUUACGUCCCUGCCCUUUGUACACACCGCCCGUCGCUACUACCGAUUGAAUGGCUUAGUGAGGCCUCCGGAUUGGCUAUUGGAAUCCCGCGAGGGAAUCUAACUGCCGAGAAGUUGUACGAACUUGGUCAUUUAGAGGAAGUAAAAGUCGUAACAAGGUUUCCGUAGGUGAACCUGCGGAAGGAUCAUUAGUGAAUAAAUAGGGUGUCCAAUUUAACUUGGAACCCGACCUUCUCACAUCUAACCCUGUGCAUCUGUAUUUAAUGGCGAGCAAUUUUCGGAUUGUGAGCCAUUUCACUUUAUAAACACUAGUCUAUGAAUGUAAAAUUUUUAUAACAAAUAAAAACUUUCAACAACGGAUCUCUUGGCUCUCGCAUCGAUGAAGAACGCAGCGAAAUGCGAUACGUAAUGUGAAUUGCAGAAUUCAGUGAAUCAUCGAAUCUUUGAACGCAUCUUGCGCUCUCUGGUAUUCCGGAGAGCAUGUCUGUUUGAGUGUCAUGAAUUCUUCAACCCAACUGUUUCUUGUAAACAGCUGGUGUUUGGAUUCUGAGCGCUGCUGGCUUCGUGCCUAGCUCGUUCGUAAUACAUCAGCAUCCCUAAUACAAGUUUGGAUUGACUUGGCGUAAUAGACUAUUCGCUAAGGAUUCAAUGUUCGCAUUGAGCCAACUUAAUUAAGGAAGCUUCUAAUUGAAAAGUCUACCUUUAGAUUAGAUCUCAAAUCAGGCAGGAUUACCCGCUGAACUUAAGCAUAUCAAUAAGCGGAGGA